Molecule: ribosomal RNA, 699 nt
Filed under: uncultured marine archaeon
Lineage: Archaea
Description: bacterial SSU rRNA
Rfam family: Archaeal small subunit ribosomal RNA
Source: RNAcentral
AGUCAACCUACCCUAUGGACGGGAAUAAUCUCGGGAAACUGAGGAUAAUGCCCGAUAGAACACUAUGCCUGGAACGGCUUGUGUUCCAAAUGAUUUAUCGCCGUAGGAUGGGACUGCGGCCUAUCAGUUUGUUGGUGAGGUAAUGGCCCACCAAGACUAUUACAGGUACGGGCUCUGAGAGGAGUAGCCCGGAGAUGGGUACUGAGACACGGACCCAGGCCCUAUGGGGCGCAGCAGGCGAGAAAACUUUGCAAUGUGCGAAAGCACGACAAGGUUAAUCCGAGUGGUUCCUGCUAAAGGAACCUUUUGACGGUCCUAAAAACACCGUUGAAUAAGGGGUGGGCAAGUUCUGGUGUCAGCCGCCGCGGUAAAACCAGCACCUCAAGUGGUCAGGAUGAUUAUUGGGCCUAAAGCAUCCGUAGCUGGCUCUGUUAGUUUUCGGUUAAAUCUGUGCGCUCAACGUACAGGCUGCCGGGAAUACUGCAGAGCUAGGGAGUGGGAGAGGUAGACGGUACUCGGUAGGAAGGGGUAAAAUCCUUUGAUCUAUUGAUGACCACCUGUGGCGAAGGCGGUCUACCAGAACACGUCCGACGGUGAGGGAUGAAAGCUGGGGGAGCAAACCGGAUUAGAUACCCGGGUAGUCCCAGCUGUAAACUAUGCAAACUCAAUGAUGCACUGGCUUGAAGCCAAUGCAGUGUU